UAGUUCCCGGAAACAUUUGCCCAGAUC
This 27-nucleotide non-coding RNA is filed under the name Mus musculus (house mouse). Lineage: Eukaryota; Metazoa; Chordata; Mammalia; Rodentia; Muridae. The record is from RNAcentral.